GACGAACGCUGGCGGCGUGCUUAACACAUGCAAGUCGAACGGAAAGGCCCUGCUUGCAGGGUCCUCGAGUGGCGAACGGGUGAGUAACACGUGGGUGCUCUGCCCUGCACUUCGGGAUAAGCUUGGGAAACUGGGUCUAUUACCGGAUAGGAGCCAUCUUUAGUGUGGUGGUUGGAAAGUUUUUUCGGUGUAGGAUGAGCUCGCGGCCUAUCAGCUUGUUGGUGGGGUAAUGGCCUACCAAGGCGGCGACGGGUAGCCGGCCUGAGAGGGUGUACGGCCACAGUGGGACGGAGAUACGGCCCAGAGUCCUACGGGAGGCAGCAGGGGGGAAUAUUGGACAAUGGGCGCAAGCCUGAUGCAGCGACGCCGCGUGGGGGAUGAAGGCCUUCGGGUGGUAAACUCCUUUCGCGAGGGACGAAGCUUUGUUGUGACGGUACCUAGAGAAGAAGCACCGGCUAACUACGUG
RNAcentral lists this ribosomal RNA (466 nucleotides) under uncultured bacterium. RNAcentral's name for it is "partial 16S ribosomal RNA". It matches the Rfam family "Bacterial small subunit ribosomal RNA", at positions 28 to 507 of the family's 1533-position model. The record is from RNAcentral.